AGGCAAUAGUUUCAUCCUUACUAGGCAACUCCUUUUCAUGAGGUUGUCUACCAAACUUGGAGAAAUUGAACUCGUGGGACACGCCUUCAAAGCCAACAGUGACAGUUUGCUUCUCACAAUCAAUAUGAGCACUGACAGUAUUGAGAAAAGGUCUACCAAAUAUGAUGGGACAAAAGCUAUCUUGUGUGGUAGCAAGAACGAGUAAAUCAGCAGGAUACUUCGUUUUACCACACAAGACUUCAACAUCCCUAACAAUUCCCACAGGGCAAAUAGUAUCUCCAGUGGCAAGCUGAAUAGUGACAUCAAUGGGUUCUAUCUCAACAGGUGCAAUAUCAUCUUUAAUUUAAUCAUAUAAGGAUUGAGGUAUUGCACUAACA
This 377-nucleotide long non-coding RNA is filed under the name Hordeum vulgare. Its description in RNAcentral is "long non-coding RNA (HVUL_LNC010022)". The record is from RNAcentral. Lineage: Eukaryota; Viridiplantae; Streptophyta; Magnoliopsida; Poales; Poaceae.